Molecule: ribosomal RNA, 450 nt
Filed under: uncultured Glomeromycotina
Lineage: Eukaryota; Fungi; Glomeromycota
Description: SSU rRNA
Rfam family: Eukaryotic small subunit ribosomal RNA
Source: RNAcentral
AGCAGCCGCGGUAAUUCCAGCUCCAAUAGCGUAUAUUAAAGUUGUUGCAGUUAAAAAGCUCGUAGUUGAAUUUUAGGCCUGGCCAGGCGGUCCGUCUUUGGCGAGUACUGUUCUGUGUCGGGUCUUCCUUCUGGUGAACCUGUAUGUCCUUUAUUGGGUGUGCUGGGGAGCCAGGACCAUUACCUUGAAAAAAUUAGAGUGUUUAAAGCGGGCUAUUGCUUGAAUAGAUUAGCAUGGAAUAAUAGAAUAGGACGUUGUGGUUCUAUUUUGUUGGUUUCUAGGACCACCGUAAUGAUUAAUAGGGAUAGUUGGGGGCAUUAGUAUUCAAUUGUCAGAGGUGAAAUUCUUGGAUUUAUUGAAGACUAACUACUGCGAAAGCAUUUGCCAAGGAUGUUUUCAUUAAUCAAGAACGAAAGUUAGGGGAUCGAAGACGAUCAGAUACCGUCGUAG